UACGUAGGGUGCGAGCGUUAAUCGGAAUUACUGGGCGUAAAGCGUGCGCAGGCGGUUGUGCAAGACAGAGGUGAAAUCCCCGGGCUUAACCUGGGAACUGCCUUUGUGACUGCACGGCUAGAGUGUGUCAGAGGGGGGUAGAAUUCCACGUGUAGCAGUGAAAUGCGUAGAUAUGUGGAGGAAUACCGAUGGCGAAGGCAGCCCCCUGGGAUAACACUGACGCUCAUGCACGAAAGCGUGGGGAGCAAACAGG
RNAcentral lists this ribosomal RNA (253 nucleotides) under uncultured bacterium. Its description in RNAcentral is "partial 16S ribosomal RNA". It matches the Rfam family "Bacterial small subunit ribosomal RNA", at positions 524 to 776 of the family's 1533-position model. The record is from RNAcentral.